GACAUAGGUGGCGAACGUUAUCCGGAUUUAUUGGGCGUAAAGGAUGCGUAGAUGGUGGAAUAAGUUAUUGGUCGAGGUCAAGCUCAACUUGGCGGAAGCUGGUAAUACUGUUCUACUUGAGGACAGGAGAGGUUGGCGGAAUUCUGUGUGGAGCGGUGAAAUGCGUUGAUCUACAGAGGAACACCAAAAAGGGCGAAGGCAGCUAACUAUUCUGAUCCUGACAUUGAGGCAUGAAAGCGUGGGGAGCAAACCGG
Molecule: ribosomal RNA, 254 nt
Filed under: uncultured bacterium
Lineage: Bacteria
Description: partial 16S ribosomal RNA
Rfam family: Bacterial small subunit ribosomal RNA
Source: RNAcentral